GGAUUAGAUACCCUGGUAGUCCACGCCGUAAACGAUGUCUAUUAGAAGUCUGUGUCCUUGAGACGUGGGUUUCAAAGCUAACGCAUUAAAUAGACCGCCUGGGGAGUACGGCCGCAAGGUUAAAACUCAAAUGAAUUGACGGGGGCCCGCACAAGCGGUGGAGCAUGUGGUUUAAUUCGAUGCAACGCGAAGAACCUUACCUACUCUUGACAUCCAGCGAACUUUUCAGAGAUGAAUUGGUGCCUUCGGGAACGCUGAGACAGGUGCUGCAUGGCUGUCGUCAGCUCGUGUUG
Molecule: ribosomal RNA, 293 nt
Filed under: uncultured bacterium
Lineage: Bacteria
Description: partial 16S ribosomal RNA
Rfam family: Bacterial small subunit ribosomal RNA
Source: RNAcentral